This 484-nucleotide ribosomal RNA is filed under the name uncultured bacterium. RNAcentral describes it as "partial 16S ribosomal RNA". It matches the Rfam family "Bacterial small subunit ribosomal RNA", at positions 30 to 507 of the family's 1533-position model. The record is from RNAcentral.
AUUGAACGCUGGCGGCAGGCCUAACACAUGCAAGUCGAGCGGAUGAAGGGAGCUUGCUCCUGGAUUCAGCGGCGGACGGGUGAGUAAUGCCUAGGAAUCUGCCUGGUAGUGGGGGAUAACGUCCGGAAACGGGCGCUAAUACCGCAUACGUCCUGAGGGAGAAAGUGGGGGAUCUUCGGACCUCACGCUAUCAGAUGAGCCUAGGUCGGAUUAGCUAGUUGGUGGGGUAAAGGCCUACCAAGGCGACGAUCCGUAACUGGUCUGAGAGGAUGAUCAGUCACACUGGAGCUGAGACACGGUCCAGACUCCUACGGGAGGCAGCAGUGGGGAAUAUUGGACAAUGGGCGAAAGCCUGAUCCAGCCAUGCCGCGUGUGUGAAGAAGGUCUUCGGAUUGUAAAGCACUUUAAGUUGGGAGGAAGGGAAGUAAGUUAAUACCUGGCUGUUUUGACGUUACCAACAGAAUAAGCACCGGCUAACUUCGUG